GGAAUUUUCUUUUGGAACAAUGAGAAUUCUCCAAGCUUCCUCAACAGACAACUGGAAGUGGCAGCAAAGAGGCAGUGGAAAAGCAGCAGAAUGGCAGUAGAAUGGCAACAGCUGCACUGGGAUCAGAGGCUGCACUGGGAUCAGGGGCUGUGCUUAGAUCGUGCUGAGUCAUUGCUGGUGUUGGACGGAGUGACAGCGCGGAGGAGGAUUACGUGUGCCAACUGCUGGAUUUCCCAAGUUUGCCUGCCCUUGCCUAGGUGCGAGCUGAGAUAUUUUGGAGACCCAAGAUGGGUAGAAAGGAUGCUUCUACUUUAAAACUUCCUGUUGAUCAAUAUAGAAAGCAAAUUGGUAAACAGGACUACAAGAAAAACAGACCUGUUUUAAGAGCAGCCAAGUUAAAAGCAGAAGCCAAGAAAGCAGCAAUAGGCAUAAAGGAAGUUGGCCUUGUCCUUAUAGCUAUUUUGGUACUCCUGCUGGCUUUCUAUGCUUUCUUUUAUCUUAAAUUAUCCACUGAGGUUGACCCUGUCCUGGCGAUGAAUGAAAAUUAGCACUGUGCUGAUCAUUGGAUCUCGGUCCCUUUAUGGAAAAAUGAAUGAUUUACAUAACACUAUUUAACAAUAUUUUCACCAACAACAUUCUGAAGUUUUUCAAAGCAGGAAACUCAGAAUCUUUCAACUGUUCUACUUCAUUUGGGGAACAUUUUAAAGAUUUAGAUGAAUUUCAAGCAAAGAUUCUCACCUUGGAAUGGAAUAUGUCAAGCCGCACUGGACAUUUUUACAAGUUGUUGUUCUUGGUUUUUUUUUUUUAAUGUUGCAAAAAAGGAGAAGUUUUCUCUACAUAUAAUGCUUAGUUACAUAUAUGUAUAUAUAUAUAUAUAUGUAUACAUAACACAAUAUAUAUGCAUAUGUAAUAGCAAAAAAUAUAAAAUCCUUUCUUCUUGGAAAGCCUACUCCACUUUCCCAAUACAGUUGCAUAAAUCAAAAUUAUUUACUGAUCAACAAAUCCUUUGUUUUUUUCCAAUCUCAUGGAAUGAAAUUCUAAACUAAAGUUUAUUCUUAUUUAUGGACACCUACUCAAAAUGCCUUCAUAGUUAUAUGAUUGGAGGAAAAGUUCCAGGAAAUUUUGUGUUUUAGAAGAAAAUGCUACUUUUUCUACAAGCAUAUUUUAUUUCAUCAUAGAUUCUAUCUGCACAUACAUUUACAGUCAUCUUUUUCUUUCCUCGCCAACUGUUCAGUGCACAUGUGCUCUUUCAGAAAUGGCACCUGGAUGACAGAAGCUCGAAGAGUCACAUAUGCCUCUAAAAUCAAGUUCUUUGCCUCUUGGGCUGUCUGAACUGGUGUAAAUAGAAAGUUCAGUUAAUGUUGAUUUUAAUUAGUAUAUCACUCUAUUAAUACAAAAUUGGAAUUCUAUUUUAAUUAUGUUGUUCCUGCUGCUUGAAGUAUCAGUUUGCUCCUCUUGUUAGAAAUAUGUUUAAAAAAAUCUUUUUCAUGCAUAUUCUUCUAAAUAAAAAUGAUCCAAAGUUUUUGAAAUUUUGCUUUAUAUAAAUUUAUAUUUCACCUCUUAAGACAUAACUCAAUUAAAUCCCAAAUAGGGAAUAAAUGACACAAGAAUAAAGGAUGUUUCUUUAUUCAGUAUAUAUUAGAGACAAAUCUUUUUUGUAGCUUUUAUUGAUUCAUUUGUCAGAAAAUAAAUAUGACAAAUAAAGUCAGUACUUUAAAAACUGAUUUUUAAAAUUCUUCAUAGUACAUAUACAUUAAAAAAAUAUUAAGUACCCUGGUAAACCAAUACAGGAGCUUAUGAAGAACUUUUUAAUGGCAUUAUGGAACCAUCAACAAUUUACAUAUUGACUCAAUGAAUAAAAAUACACAAAAAUAAAAAUUUUUUAUUAUUCUGAAGAAAAAAAGUUAUUCUGCUCCACUAAUUUUCUUUUCUUUUACUCAUUUAUUUAUUUUGGUGAGGCAGUUAAGUGAUUUGCCCUGGGUCACACAACUAGUAAGUAUGAAAUAUCUGAGGUCAGAUUUGAAUUCAGGUCCUCCUAACUCUAAGGCUGAUGCUAUAUCUACUAUGCCAUUAGCAACUCAUGUUUAAAUUAUUUCAAUAUUAAUUUUCCCAUUUAAGAUUGGGUGUUCUUCAAUACCCACUACCUAAUUCUUGUUGUUCAAUCAUUUCAUUUAUGAAUGACUUUUCAUGUCCCUAUUUGUGGUUUUUUUUUUUUUUUUGGCAAAGAUACUAGAGUGAUUAGCCAUUUCCCUCUCCAGCUCUUUUUUACAGAUGAGGAAACUGAGGCAAACAGGGUUAUAUGACUUGCCCAAGAUCCCACAGCUAGUAAAUGUCUGAGGCCAGAUUUGAACUUGAGAAGAUAAACCAUCCUGACUUGAGACCUAGCAUUCUAUCCACUGUUACAUAUAUAUAUAUAUAUAUAUAUAUAUAUAUAUAUAUAUAUAUUCUCCAGUUUACUAUAUACCUAAUUUUAGCAGUUUAAUGGGAAAUUACAUUUCUUUUCUCUAUUGCUCACUGAUUUUUUUUUUUUUUUUUUACUUUUAAAAAAUAGCAGGGGGCAGCUAGGUGGUACAGUGAAUAGAGCACCAGCUCUGAACUCAAGAAGACCUGAAUUCAAAAAUGGCCUCAGACACUUAACACUUCCUAGCUGUGUGAUUCUGGGUAAGUCAUUUAACCCCAGUUGCCUCAGGACAAAAAUGAGCAUAUGAAUACAUUCAAAUAAUAACUCAAAUUUGUAGAAGUGUUAAAGUUUCCAAAACUUUUCUCUUUGUGCUAGAAAACUAGCACAAAUAUUAUUAUCCACAUUUUACAUAUAGGAUCUAUGAAAUUGAGUGAUUUGCUCAUGAUUAUAUAGCUAACUAAAUAUCUAAGUCAGGAUUGGCCCCCACAGCACUUGACUCCAAGUCCAGCACUCUUUCUAGAGUAUUGUGCUGUUUCUAAAUGACUUUUUCCAAAUCUUUCCUGCCCUGGUUCUAAAUACAAGUGAUCUAGUCAUAUACAUUUUGUUGCAUUUUUUUUUGAUAGCAUUGCUUUUCCAUUACACAUUUGAGUCUGCAUAAUAGUGCUCUAUGCUAAUAAUUUAAACAUGCAAUAACAGUAACAGCUGAGCAAAAUCCCUUGAGAGUGGAAAAAUUUUGUUUUCUUUUACUUAUAUAUCUGUGUGAUAUGUGGACUGAGAAACUUAAGAUUACUAAAUUAGAUGGGAGCAUCUCAUAUCUGAAAGAAAUUUGAGAGGCCAAUGAGUCUAAAUUUAAGUGGGACAAGGGUCUUUACAAAAUACCCAAGUGAUCAUCUUGCCAAAACAUCUCCAGUAAAGGGUAGUUUUCUACUUCCCAAAGAAGCCUAGUUAUUCUCAUAGCAAGGAAAAAUGUGUCUCUUUACAACUUCCACCCAGUGUCCCUAAUUACAUUCUUUGAGGUGCAAGUCUCCAUUAUCUCUCAUAAGAUAAUUGUGAUAUGUGAAAAAUGAAUACUCCUAUAACAAGGAUAUAAAUAUGAAUCUAGGAGUGUAAUUUUCCCAUGGUAAUUACGAAUAAUAUAUGUGAAAUAAAAGUGUUUUCAUACUUAAUAGGACUUUGGAAACAACAUUGAACAAGCUCCACCUUUUAUGAGGUAUGUGACCUUAAAAAAUUUAAUUUCCAUGAACUACCUGUAAUUCUUAUCACAAUAGAUUGUUGUAAAAACAAAAUCAAAUAAUGCAAAAAAUCUUUUUCCUCCGAAAAGUGGCAUAAGUAUAUAAAUAUCAUCACUCUCAUCAUUAUAAUUGCAUUGCCAAAAAGAAUUUAUUUUUUAAAUACUUUAAGAUUUGUGCUUUUCAUAUGAGCACAAUGAACAUUCAUUCUCCCCCACUUCCCUCCUUGAGAAUGGGUCUCUUGCUUGCCCAGGGUGAAAGUACUAUAAAUAUUUAAAAGACCCAGUCCUAAUACCAAUUAACAUGAAAAUUUUGGCCUGUUUCCUACUUGAGUCAGGGCUCCUCUCCUUAGGGAUCCCACUCCCAACAAUUCACCGUGUUGGUGUCAGAUUUAAUAUGAAUACCCGAUUGCUUAAGUUUACUGCAGGUCAGAACUCUUUGGCUCAAGAAAUUCAUCAGCCUCAUCUUCUCCUGUCACAAGAAGCAUGCUAUCAUGCCCAAAAUGGAUCAUUUCUUAAAAUGGAAUGUUUUUGUCUUUAAAAAUAUACUAUUCUUCUGUGAAACUAUUUUGUCUAGAAUUUUUGCAAGAGGCACACUUUAUUUUUCAGAUAAGAAAAUCCAGAUGCUUAUCGAUCAUUCAUACUUUAUAUCUGAGGAUAUUUGGCCAGUGUUGGUUUCUCCUUGUUUUAUAGUCACAAAUUAAAAUGACAAAUCAGUAGUUCUUGUAUACUAUGGUUGACCAAUAUGGAUGGCAUUUUUAGAGAAGGUUGCAGCAUUUAGUGACAUGUGGCAUGUCUGUUAGUGAAGAAGAAGGCAAAGGAAUAUCACAAGCUGGCAUUUUGGAUAUGAUGGGCCUUUUACUUCCCUGAGUGACAUGCCACAUGUCACAAAAUGCUGUUGUCUCCCCACCCCCAUCACAUAUACGUGAGCAAUUUUCAUUUAGUUAUUUCUUCUCCCAUAUGGUGUUCAAAAGCACUUACAUUAAAUAAAGGUUAUUCCUAGUUUUUAGCGGUGACUUAAAUGAAAUAACAUAGCUGCAAAUAUAUUUAAUCAGAAACUUUAUCCAAAUUAAAUACAGUACAAGUUAAAGCAUAAUCGAUAAUCAUAAUCAAAGAGCUUUUUGAAAACAUUACAUCCUCCUUCAAAGUCCUAACAAUUUCUUCCAAAUAUUACAUAAAAGACAUGAAGUAUCGGAUAUUACUGCUACUACCAUUACACUACUAUCACUACUACUAGCUAGCUAGCGUUUUUGAGCAGUUGUGUGCUAGGAAUAGUACUAAGUCCUUUACAAAUAUUAUCUUAUUUGAUCCUUACAACAACUUUGCUAGGUAGGUGCCAUUAUUAUCCACAUUUUCAGUGGAGAAAAUUAAGUGAGAGAAAAGUUGUUAGGCAACUUGCUCAAAGCCACACAGCUAGCAAGUACCUAAAACUUGAUUUGAAUUUGGAUCUUCUUGAUCAGGAUAAUUGUGCUAUCUAAGCAGUACAUUUUGGUUUGGCCUUUUUUUUUUUUCUUUUUACAUUCUGACUUGCUUAACCAAUGUCAUCAGUUUAUUAUAAUAGUGAACAGUCCUCAAAAUGGGAGUCUUUGAGUUUACCCAAGAAUGAUGAUGAAAUGGGAUUAGAAACAUUCUUCAUUGCCUUAGGCAGCAUGUGCUAGAGAGAGUGUUCAUGAAAUGUGCUUUAGAUGCAUUUACAUCUCCUGAGAAGUAACAGAGAAUAUAAUGAGCAAAAAAAUUCUAGCUAAUUUACAGACUUUGUUGUUGUUGUUUUGUUGUUUUUUUGGUAAUUUUUUUCUACCAUUCAAGACAAAUGGGCAAUAUUUUGUCAGUUUUUUUAUUGUUGCUUUUUAGUGGACAGAAUUCAGUAGUAACAGUUAUGAUUUUGAGAAUUGAUUGUUUCUCAAUAUAAAUAUGCAUGCAGUUUUAUAUACACAUGUACAUUCAUAUAUGGAGGGGGAGAGAGAAAGAGACACUGACCAACUCUUUGGGAGAAGUAAGAUUUUUUUAAUCUGCAUAAAUUUUGUAAAAGAUUGUUUUAAAUUUAUUUUUUAAGUUUGUUUUAAUACAAAUAGAAAUAUAGAUCUAUAACCUCUUGGCAUGCUUCUUUUAAUAAAUAUUUUAAAGAAUUAAAUAGUAGCAGUGCAAAAUUGGAUAUGCGGUAAAAGCAGAAAUCCCUAAAUCAUCAGGAUUUGAGUCUUUUAAGUUGAAUAAAUAAUGGCUGAGUGCAUUGAGCUAGCAAAGUACUACAGUGUGAUAUGUGGCACCAUUUGAGAUACAGUGUAUGUAGGCAGUUAAAAAUUUGCUUCUUAUUUUGACCCAGGAUAAUACGGGGUCUGAGCUCUGGGAAAAUAAUGUAACUCCAGAUGCCAGAAGGGCCUUACAAAUAGUAAAGGCCAAAGACCACAAAUACCUUCUUUCACUCUUUUGAACAUACUGUGUAUCCAAAUAAAAUUGAAAUGUUAACUAAUUUUGGGAGUGUGGAGGCAAUAUAUUUUCUUAUAAUUACUGUAACAUAGAAAAAUAAUUUUUGUAUAAUCUUAAUGUCUUUAAAUGUACAAAGGCUCAAUUUAAUUGAAAAGCACUACUAUUAUAUAGAUGCUAAAGUCUAGAAUGCUAAAUAUAAAAAUCUAGAAAAGUGAUUGACUCUACAAGUCCUGUAUAUAAUACUUUCUUCUCUUCUCUUCUCUUCUCUUCUCUUCUCUUCUCUUCUCUUCUCUUCUCUUCCCUUCUCUUCUCUUCUCUUCUCUUCUCUUCUGUUUUCCCAUGGUAAUUACGAAUAAUAUAUGUGAAAUAAAAGUGUUUCUUCUCUUCUCUUCUCUUCUCUUCUCUUUUUCCCAUGGUAAUUACGAAUAAUAUAUGUGAAAUAAAAGUGUUUUCAUACUUAAUAGGACUUUGGAAACAACAUUGAACAAGCUCCACCUUUUAUGAGGUAUGUGAUAUGUGGCACCAAUUGAGUGAGAAUUCUCUAACUUCCCUCCUCUUGUUUCCCUGGGGUUCAAUUUAUUCACAUUCUCAAAAAAGCUGGGAUUAAGGAAUAGGUCAGGGGCACAUGGGGUAGAACAUUGGAUCUAGUGCCAAAUUUGAAGUCAGAAAGACUCAUCUUCCUAAAUUCUAAUCCACCUUCAGACACUUAUUAGCUAUGUGAUUCUAGACAAGUUAUUUAGUCCUGCAUGUCUCAGUUUCCUCAUCUGUAAAAUGAGCUGGAAAAGGAAUGACAAACCUCUCCAGUAUGUUUGCCCCCCCAAAAAAUCUGAAAUGGGGUCACAGAAAAUUGAAUUACAACUGAAAUGAUUGAACAAAGGAAUAGGUCUAGGCAGUGAGAUAUUGAAACUCUUUGUCUUGCAUAUAGCCUUUGACAUAGCAAAGGCCUUAUAUAAAUUCUUAACAAAUGUUUAUGAAAUUGAUCCUAUAACUUUGGAAUUAUUAAUACCAUUUUCAAUAAUGAGGUAAUAUAAAUAGAUUCUUUAAUUCAAAUGAAGAAAAUUGUCCAUAUUUAGCCUUAUUGUGUUUAUACUGGGUGUUGAUCUUCUAGAGUUUCUAUACUUUAAUAAUAGAUGGAAUAAGUAAAACAUAAAUGAGAAAAGCUUUAAAAAUAAUUCCCUAUAAAUUAAUUUAAGUAAUUUUAGAAUGAAUUUUUAAUAUAUAAGGUUGUUGGAAUUAAAUCGUAGACCAAAGGAGCCACCAUACAAAGUGGUGGUGUUUGGCUUCCCAGUGCUUAGAUUUCUCUAUAAAUGCUUGAUAUUUUGAGGCUAGAUAAACCCAUUAAAAAACAUCUUCAGUGAGAUGGGCAUUUCAAAUGCCAGAGAAUUACAGUAUUUAGAACUGUUCAGGAAAAACCAACUUGUUCACUAUAAAAAUGCCUGCUGCUUCCUGUACAACGAAUAAAUACUUAUAUAACAUAUGCAAAGCUUCACUAAGUUUGUUCUGGGAUGCAAGAUUCCCACCAGAGAAUUUGUCUAUGGCAUCAGGGUUUAAUCCUCCGCUUGAUCAGCCCAAAAGAAACUGAGGAAUUUCCUAAGUAGUGUCUAUGUAGAAAUAUAAUAAAUAAAAAUAAUUUUUAAAAAGUGAUUUACAUAAAAACUAGCAAUUUAGGACUUUAGAGGCAGCACCAUAAUGAAAUAAUUAUGUAGAUUCAGAUGAUUUGAUUCAAAUCUUAGCUUUACCACUUUCUACCUGUGACCUUGGCCAAGAAAAUUGAUAUCUCUUGGUUUUAGUGUUCUCAUUUAUAAAAAUAAGGAAAUUGACUAAUAAACCUCUUAGGCCUUGUCCAAAGUUAAGUAUAUUAUUAUAUUAACAUGGUUGCCCCCUCAACAUCAAUAGAUGUGAGACCCAUAUUUAGGGGAAAAAUAAGGAUUUUAUGUUGCUGAAUUUUAGACGACAGCAUUCCCUCUUCUUCAAUUUUUUUUUUUAAGCAACAACCAAAUUGGUGGGGAGGCAGCCAAAAUUUGAGGUACCAGUGCCUCUCGAACAGAUGUCGCACCAUUAUUUUUUAGCUCGUUUAGAUGAAUAAACAUGUUAAACUGUGAAGUAUUACAUUUUAGAUUUUUUCAUUAAAAAAGAGACAAUCUGUUUACUGUCCUAAUUGAGACAACAAUCCUUGUGGUUGCCAGUUUUGGCAGUCAUAACAAUGAACUAUAAAUAUUUGGACCAAUCAAGAAAAUGGUGACUGUAAAGGCUAUAACAUGUGGAAGGUUCUGUUUUCAUGGGCACCCAUUUCAAUGCUGCCUUUUUUUCUAAUUUCUGCAAAUAAAAUUAUAUCAAACCAGAGCUGCAUGGGAAAGCCCCACAAUAUCAGUUAAGAGACCUGUUUCAAUAUCUAAUUUCUUUCUAGUUCAUUAUCCUUUUUAGUGUUCAAUUAUCCAUCUGCUUGUAACAAAUUGCUUCUAGUUGCUCUAUCCAAUGUGACAAGUCAGGUCAUCAUUUAGAUUGGCUUUGGGGUACAAAUUAGGCUACCACAAAGUUGGGUCUUCUAUUCCCCUUUUCAAAUUACAAAAAUAAGCAUUCUGAAUCACUUUAACCUUUCAACUGAAGCAGUUUAAAAAUGGAGAUAUGAAUAAAUAAAAACAAAGUCACCUUAUUUUUCCAAAGAUGCCUUAGUUUUGUCACCAUUUACAUAUAUAUAUAUAUAUAUAUAUAUAUAUAUAUAUAUAUUUUAUAGAGUAUAACACCGAGAUGGGGAAAUGCUUUUGAGACGCUUUUUGCUGCUUUGAAAGAAAUAAUAAAAUACCAUUAACUGGAGUUCAUAAGGUAUUUGGGAACUAAAUAAUGUAUAUGGUAACUUAGACUUUGCAGAAGCCAAGAUUUAACGGAGACUUUAAAGAGCAUGAAGUCCUGACUCUCUCUUUUAUAGAAAAGGAAAUUGGAAGUCCUUAGACUUUUAAGUGACUUGCCAAGAUCAUCCCAGUAGUAAGCAACAUGAUUUAAUUCCUUUGAAGGAAAGACAGAAAACCUGGGCUGUCACAAGGCUACUGCUGGAGAUUCCAUUGCUUCUGGAAGAAAGCAUGGUAGACUAGGCUAGGGAAAUUGACUUUAUUUAAUUAUUUAACUAACCAUUUUUACUUGCUAAAGAAGCAUAAAAAUAUGAUCAGUUCCCUCUAAGUUUCGGCACUCUGAAAUAACACCCUAUUCCCAGUGUUAAUACUAUCUUAUUUUAGUUAUUGCUCUGAUUUUUGCCUACUGUACCCCUUAUUUCUUCUUUCUUUAUGCUGACUCCCAAUAUUUCUUCCCUUUCUCUACUGUCCCACUCUGGUACUCCCAUUUGUUUUCAUCUUUUUCCUCUCUUAUUUCCUGUCAUUGCCAAAAUCCUCUUUUUCUAUCCGUCACUUGUGUGUGUAUGUGUGUAUACUUACUAAUUCUACUAUAUUACUCUUCCUCCUCCUCUUACUAUUACUACUACUACCUUCUUAGGACUUGCAAACUAAGAGGAUCUAUGUUCAAAACCUGUAUCUGAUAUCAGCUACAUGACCAUGGGCAAGUAACUGAAUGCCUCUGAGUUUGAGUUUCCUUAUCUGUAAAAUGUUAAUCAUUAUACCCAUAGUAUUUCCCUUAUUGGAUCGUUGUGAGGCUUAAAUGAGAUUAUAUAAAAUAUUUUGAGAAUCAUAAAGCACUAGAAAAUUCCUGAUAUGAAGAUAAUAAGGAACAUAUGAUGAUGGGACUCAUUAGUUAUUAAAAAAUGUUAACUGAUAGAAUAUUACUAUCUACAGAAAUAGGAGAAAGAACCAAACUUCCUUCUUUUUACAGUCAAUUCCAAUAGAUCAAGUAUAAAAUAGAUAGCAACCAUCUUCUACAGGAAGCUUUUCUCAAUCUCUCUUCAUUCUAAUGCUUUCUCUCAAUUAUUUCCCAUUUAUCCUCUAUGUAGCUUGUUUGUGUAUAUAUAUAUAUAUAUAUAUAUAUAUAUAUAUAUUUGUUUGCUUCUUGAACUCUUUUUGCCUCCUUUUGUAUUUCUAUUGUUUAGCACAGUGCCUGGCAUAUAAUAAACUCUUGAUGAUUUAUUUUGUGCUCCAAGAGGACCAAAAUGACAUCACUAUGUUGGGGUCAAGGAAGUGUGUUCAAUUGUAGCUGAUCAGACCAAUAUGAGUUUGGAAGUUUCUACAACAAAUUGGGCACAAAUAGUCUAUAUGAAUAUUUGGAGUAGAGAUGACAUUAAAUUUGCGCCUCUCAUUUCUUUUGAGCUACUUGAAAUUCUGUUUUGCUUAUAGAGUAUAGUGCCUUCUUUGAUGUGAGAAUACCAUGGUGGACAGUUCUUUGGCUUAAUAAUGUUUACUGACUGACUAAUUGGAUGUUUGAUCACGUAGAAUCAUACGAGCAUUGCCUGUGUUAUACACUUAUAAAACCUAUUGAAACUUCAACAGGCUAUAUUUUUUUGUUCUUGAUAUAUGUGAGCCUGAUGUAUUUUUUUCUUCUUGAUUUUUAUUGUCACUUCCUUUCAUUUCAUUCUUUAUGGAUAGGAGAUUCACCACAUCUUGAUUUUUCUUCUUCAAACUCUUUUUUUCUCCUUAUUCCAAGAAAAGGUUCUGUCAUAUAGAUUUAUCUUGAAUAAAAUUAAUUAAAGUCAAUUUUGUUUCUGAGUAUUUCACAUCAUUCCUUAAAAUGAUUUGUGAUAUUCCAUAUAUUUCAAAACCAGUUUUUGGUACUUUUGGACUAAGCAAAAAAAAAAAAAAUAUUCUCUCUCAUUCCUCUUAGCAAUUACCCCUCCUUUGGACUCUUUCCUCAAACAUUCUAUAAAUGAACCAAUGAGAAAUAUUUCAUGUAGACUACAGAAGGUCAAAUAUAUUAAGCCUAUCAGCUAAUUUGAACAGGGGUCUGCUUAUAUUCAUUCUUUUUCACAUUAGAAUAUAAAUACAAGGGAACACUUUUCAAAUCUUUGGAUGAUCAUAAAAAGAAAGAAAAAAAGAUCUUUUCUUUUUGAAGAAAACUCCAGGGAGAUAUAGCCUAGUCAAUCACUAGCUUUGAGAGAAAAUACAUUUCAUUUUAAACUCCCUUCAUAUGCAGUGGGUAGCAACCUAUAGUAAGUUGGUUAUAACUGAUAAAUUAUUUCUCUGAAAAUAGGAUAUGAUAGGAAUCAACUUAUCACUAGAAACAUGUUCAUCUCAUGUUAUAGAUUGUAAGGUAAUAUAUAUAUAUACACAUAUAUAAGCAAUGAUUAUUAUUAUGUGAUACAAUAAUAAUUUCUUUCUGGCAUCUUUGUCCAUCUUGGUCAGAGCAGAACAUUGAGAAAGUGAGAAAGAAACUGCAACUAUCUUUCUUGAGUUGACAUUGUUAAAAUGAACCUAAAGCCUACAUAUUGGUAAAUGGCUCAGGAUUUUGACAUCUUUAUUAUAGAUAGAUAGUAAGAACCAGGUGUCAUGAAAUCUGGUUUGAGUAUAAAGAAGGAGCCUUCAGUCUGGCAAUAAAAAUUUGAAUUUUCUAGUGGAUUCUUGACAGAAAAUUGUUAUAUUGUUAAAAUUAUUAUUCUAGCCUUUCUUUUGUGCCAUUUUAGCCUGAUUUUCCUUUAAAUAUGGAUGUUGAAGAAUCAUGCUGGAUAAAUGAGGAUAUAGUAAUCAGGUGAGUUGAAUUGAAGAUGAUUGUAUUUAUUGAUUCAGAGGAUUUCAUGAAUGCAGAAGAUAAAAUUUUACCAGUGAUUAGUUUUGCUUAAAAUGUGUACUUUGAGAGCAAUUUAUAUAAAAUAGACUAGAGAAAAGAAAGUUUAUAUUAUAGGAUGAUAAAACAAGGAUGUCCAAGGAGAUAACUACACCAAUUUUAUAUGAUAUAUAUGUUUUACUGAAAGUUUUUCAUUUAUAGUAUAUUGACAUUUUUCUUAUUAGCUCAAAGUUUUAGCAUAGACAUAAAAGACAGGAAUGAUAUUUAGACAUUUAAGGAAGCUCAACACCUUUUAGGGACCACUAAAACAAUAGCAUAUUGCUGUCACCUUGAUGACAAGAAAGUCAUUCUGUCUCCUUACGUACCUAACCUAAGGAGUGACACAUACUAUGACAAAUAAGCCCAUUUUCUCAUUAAUCGUCAAUACAUUUCUAUGAAGUAAACAGUUUUAAAUGAUUCUAUUUUAUGGAUGAGAAAAGGAAGACAUGAAGGCAUUAAAUAAUUUAUUCACCUAGUACACUACUAGUUAGUGGUAAAAUUGGAAAUAACUUAGUUCAUUUAUACAAUUAUAUAUUUGUGGAGCAACUAUUUCAGUAACUUAAAGGCACCCAACAGAACAACAAAAAGGACAAUGAUACAAAAAAAAAAAAAAAUGAAAGUAGCAUGCACAAGUACUUUAAGUUAUGUCAGUACCUGCUCUUUGUAAUGUAAGGAUUGGAAAGAUGAAUAAAAUAUAGCAUACCAAAGAAUAUUCAUUAGGUUGGUUCAGUGGCCUAAGGACACAAUCCCAGAAUCUCAGAACUGGGAAAAACCCAGGAAAUCAUCUAGUUAAACCUUAACUUGAAUAAGAAUUCUCCUUUCAACAUAUUCCAACAAAUGGUGGUUCAAACUCUACAAGAUUUCAAAUGAAGAUGAAACCACUAUCUUUCAAGGCAACCCAUUAUACCCUUGGAUAGCUGAAAUUGUUGGGAUUGUAAAAAUUCAUUCAUUUUAAGCAUAUAAUGGGGUAUGUAAUGGGGCUCAGCUUUUUUAGGGAGUUUAUUUUAGAUCAAAAGUUCUAAAUUUAUUCACAAAUUCUUUAUGUCCCCAGUGAGGAAAAUUCCUAGUACCUAGGCAGAGGUGGAGCUCUCUGCCCAACCUGAGAUUUACAUCUUUCCCUAAUUAACCCCUGAUCUCUUUGAGGCAAAAUUCACUUUAUUAUAAACUUAGGUAUUUAUUAUAAAUAAUAAUAAACUUAUUAUAAUGUUUGUGGAUGAACAAGUAUUGGGAAAGGAAGUUUGGAAAAGAACCUGCCUCAGCCUAAGAUCUUUACUCUGUGAUGCUUAGAGACCCCAGGCUUCUCCUUGAUUAUCUCCCUCCUCUGAGUUCUCCCUUUGUUCCUCAAGGCUAUGCUGGAAAUGCCAUGUUUACUUCAACCUCUUAAAUCCAGUGUGUCAUUAUCUCUUCCCUGAAUUCUGAGAAAGCUUCUUCCUUUUAUAUAAAUUGUGUAGGGCACGACCUAGUCUCUCAUGCAGUGACUUUGAUUGAUUCAAGGACCUUUUCACAUGUAGUUGUGAUUGUUUAAUUCCAUCGAAAAGUAUUCUGACCUACUCAAGUCACCAGAGCCAAAAUGAGGUGGUUUCAACCUUUUCUUAUAUUAGAAAGAUUUUCUUACAUGAAGUCAAAUUUGUUUCUUUGUGACUUUCACCCAUUUUCUAGUUCACAGAAUCAGAGAAGUUGUGAUGAGCCUUUAAUUUCAUAGAAAAGGAAACUGAGCCCCAAAGAGGUAGAGAUAGAUUUAACCCAGAUUCUCCAAUUCCAGAUCCAACAAGUCUUACAAUGACUUUUCUUUAAAUGACAAUUCUUUAAAUACUUGAAAAGAGACAGCAUGUAGUCCAUAUGUCUCUUACAGACUAGGUCUCCAGAGUUUCUUUGAUCUUCAUAUGGCAUAAAUUCAAGGACUUCCUUUCAUUAUCAUAAAUUACCUUUUUUUGGACAUUCAUUAAUUUCCUUCCUAAAAUGUAGAACCAAGUAUUCAGGUUGGCAUAUGACCAGGAUGAAAUAAAGCAAUAUCUAUUCCUAAAUAUGAAACUAGCUUAAACUUACAUUCACAUUAUUGACACAUUCAACUUGCUGUCCUCUUAUCACUUGUAGAUAUUUUUCAGACAACACCUUCACUGUGUUGUGCUGGUAUAGUUCAUUUUUAUUCACUCUAUUUCAUUUUCUUAGAUUUAGCCUAUGAAGGACUUCAGGUAUGUUGAUUAGGGAAUGACUGAAAAACUAGUGUGUAUAUAAAAGGUAGAGGGAUUUUAUCAUGCUAUAAGAAAAGAGGAAAUUGAAGAAUCAUAAGAAACAUGAGAUUUGCAUGAACUGAGAAGAAUGAAACCAAAAGAAUACACACACACACACACACACACAUAUACACACACACACACACACACACACACAUACAUAUACAUCAUAAACACACAAAUACUCCAGCAAUGCAAAUGAAAAGAUGUUGCUAAAAAGAAACUGGAAUCUAAAUAAUAGAAACAUUCCACCAAAGUUCUAAAGAACAGAUAUUGAAAUUUAACCAUGUCUUUUUGACAGAAAUAUAAGAGGUGUGUUAGGGCAGAAUGCUCUACACAUUGCCAGACACUGUCACUGUGUCAGGUGAUUUUGCUUAAUUCAUUUACUUUGUGCCUAAAGGGGGAGUCUCAAUUUGAAGUUUGGAAGUGGGGGGCUGAGUAGAAGAAGUUCCACUAGAAAUCAUAAUAGCUAACAUUUACAUAGUGCUUACUGUGUACCAGGUACUAUGUUAAGCACUUUAAAAUGACUAACUCUUGGGAUCCUCACAACAGCCCUGGGAGAAAUGUGCUAUUAUCAGCUCCAUUUUAAAGAUAAAAAAACUGAGGCAAAUAAAGGUUAAAGUGACUUGCCAAGGUCACAUAGUUGGUGUGUCACAUGUACAUCUGAGAUCAAAUUUGAAUUCAGGUCUUCCUAAUUCCAGACCCAGCAAGCACUCUUUCUACUGCCCCACCUAGCUGCCCUAUGACUAUGAUAUACAUAAAAAUAUCAAUAAACAUUAAAAAAAUUUAAAUCAGCAAACUUUUAUGCAUCAGUUUCACUUUCCACCGUUAAAUAACACUAGCUGUAAUGUGUUAUAUUCAUUUUAAAAAUAAUCAUCUAUUAUAGGUAAAUAAGAGAUACCAACAAUAGGUAAAGAUUAUUAUUUAUGUCUCAUUGGGUGAUUUGAUUCCAUCACUUCCUUGUAUUUAGAAAAGUAAGAAUUAUAAAUACUAGAGGUGGUUUUACCAAUGAAUAUAUGUAUUAUAUCAUCUUAUGCCCCAAAAUACUACGUUUUCAUUUAAAAGAGAUGUUGCCUAUAAACUCCUAAACAAGAAAAAAAAAUCAGAAAAACAUGGAGGAAGAGUAGAUAAAUUUACACUGUAGGUUGUUGUUCCUUUGUCUAGAAGAGGCUGGUUUUUGAGAGUAUGAAAAACAUAACAGGAUAUUUAGGUGUUCAUUCAAAACAUACAAAGGCCAAGUUUGGAGAUAUUAAAUAAUGUUAAUAUAUUAUCUAAAUAUCUUAUACAACAAUUAUGAAUUUGGUUUUAAACUAUUUAAAAUUAUUAUCUCAUGAAAAUGUUAAAUUCAGCCAUCAUUAAAUGUAGAAAUUUGUUGUCUUUUGAUUUUGAUUUUGAAAAAUGUUUAUCUUAAAUUUUAUUUCUAUUAUUCUAAGUAUUUUUUUCUUGUUGAGUAUUUACUUUUAGAUUGAGAAUCCUGAGUAGACAUAAUUAUGAAGAAGCUGGGAGAUAGCCUCUAUAAAGGGCCUUUCAUGCUAAAGAAAUCAUUCUCUCUCAAAAAAGCUCAAUAGAUUUUUUGAAAGCUCUAAUUGGAUACAAGAUUUUUCUUAUAUCAAGCUGAUCUUCUGUAGUUUCCAAACCUUUAUAAUUCUAAACACUCAGGCCAAACAAGAGAAUUCUAAUGCUUCAUAAAUAUGUCAACCUACCAAGUGAUCAGACUGGUAUCACACACACAUACCAGCCUUUUCUUCAGGUUCAACUGGGUUCUCACUGAAUCAAGGCAAUAUUUUUACGUAUCCUUAGUUAACUCACAACUUCAAUAAUACUGGCAUCUUUUCUAAACUUUUUCAUCUCUUCUUAAGCCUCCCAUAUUUUCCCUCCUCCAAUGAUUUCAGAUGAAAAUCUUGUCUCAUAUUUUCCUGCAAAAUUGAGGCUGUUCCCUGGGAAUAUUUUUUCCCUUUUUCCUCAUAUUCCACUAUCCAGAUGUCUUCUCCCAUUGUCUUCACCCUUCUGUAUUUAACAUCUGUCUGUCCUUCACCCAUGUUACAUAUGAAGAUAGCCCUUCUUUUUGCCAAAAUGAAUGCCUUUACCUAUACAAGAGAUCUCAUUCUAUGCUGCAUUCUCCAGAGUCUAUUAUUAUUAUAUUCCUAGGCAAUGAUAUUCCAAAUUCUUGCUGACAAUAUAGUUUAAAAGCCUCUUGUAAUAAUCCUUAAGAUUUUUUGGUUUGCUUUUUUUCUAAAGAGUAACUUGUUGUUCAAUUUUGUGAGAUUCUUUGUGACCCUGUGGACCAAAGCAUGUCCCUACUAUCUGUGCGUUUUCUUAGCAAAGAUAAUGGAAUGAUUUGGCAUUUUCUACUCCAGUGCUUCAAGGCAAACAGAGAUUAAUGAUUUGCCCAGGGUUGCACUAGUAAGUGUCUAAAACCAGAUUUGAACUUGUUUUCCUGACUAGGUCCAGUGUUCUGUCCAGUGAGUCAUCUAACUGCCUCCACCUUUGUGACACUAUUUUUUAAUAGGAUACUGCUACUCUCUUGCAGUUAUCUUUUGUUCCCUAUACUUCCAUUAUUUGCAAUAAAUAAAUAUUAAUAACAACAGGCAGUAAAUAUUAACAAAGCAUUUACUGUAUGUUAGACACUGGGCUUAGUGCUGGGGACCAAAGAAAGGCAAGUGACAAUAAUUGUUCUCAAAGACCUCACAAUCCAAUGGAUUUAAAACCAUAAUAUGACAAUACACAUUUAUAGAAUUCCAUAGUUUAUAGAGUGUUUUCCGCACAACAAACAUGUGAAAAUUCUUUUGUUGUUCACUCAUUUCAAUUAUGUCUGACUCAGUCACAUAUGAUCCCAUUUAGGAUGUUCUUGGCAAAAAUACUUUGACAGUUUGCCAUUUCCUUCUCCAAAUCAUUUGACAAAUGAGGAAACUGAGGCAAGCAGAAUUAAUUGACUUGCUUAGUGUCACCCAGCUAGUAAGUGUCUGGGGCUGGGUUUAAACUCACUUAGAGGAGUUUCCGUGACUCCAGGCUCAGCACUCUAUCCUCUGUGUCAUCACUGCCUGAAAUGGUCUUCAUUAUCCCCAUUUUACUAAUGAAAGGAAAUUGACAUUCUGAGGGGUGAAGGAACUUGCCUGUAACCACACUAUUAUAAUAUUAACUCAUUUAUAGAAAGCUUUAUUAUUAUUCUCAUUUUACAAAGUGUUUUCCUCACACCAAUACUGAGAGUUAGUUAUUAGUAUUCCUUUUUUGAAGACGACAAAACAGAUGCACUGCUUUCUCACCUCAAUUCCUGACACUCCAGAUUUCUCCACUCUUGUGGUCCCUAUUCCAAAUAAUGUGUUCCUCCCCAGAAUCUCCAUUUGAGGACUAUCCAACUUAGCCAUAUUCAAUUCCCUCUUGACUCCACUCCUGCUACAUUGUACUUCUCUACCUUCUCCCUCCCUCCCCUCCCCUGCUUUUAUUUUUAUUUUCUGGUUAGAAAAUCCUUAAGAAUAGGGACUGUCUUUUUUUAUUGCUUCUGUUUGUAUAUACUGCUUAGCACAGUAACUGGCAUAUAGUAAGCACUUGAUAAAUACUUUGCCUGUCUGUCCAUCUACAGAGAUCAAAACAUGCAUUUAUAGAAACUUGAAAAUAAGAAUCUUUAAAAAGUAAUGAUGAUGGUGGUGGGAUAAGUUGUAUUGAUUUAAGAAAAUCUGAUAAAACAAAGCCUUUAUGAGGUGAAUCAAGCCCAGUCAUUCACAUUUUUCAUCAUUUUACAAAAGAUUUUCUUUCAGUCAAUAUUCUUUUAAAUAAUGAACCUCUUUGUCCACAAAAUUUAAAUGUGACUUGAACAACACACACAAAAAUGUGCUACAUACAUAACUUUUCAGGAAUAUAUCUAUUUUGUAAAGUAAGGGACAGCUGCAGGCAUAGAUAUAUUCCUCCAGCAAAAUGGCAGUUAAGUAAGAGAGGUUAAGUGAUUAGUCCUAACUUAUAUUUUUCACAGUCUCUUUUCCUGCAUGAAACAAAUUAAACAGUAUAAAUUUCAUUUUUCUUUCCUAAAUCACGUGUGAAAACGAAAGGAGACAAUGGAUAAAUACAGCUCGAUAUUGUCAGCUUUGCUGUUUUUUAAUUCAUUUAAUUUAAAUGCAAAUUGUAUGUUUUAAUAAUCAUAAAUUGCCUAGCAUCAGGUUGCUCCCAGAAACAUGCUGUUACUGAGAAGAUGCUUUUCUGAAAUUCCAAAAGCCUUCAUUGUAACUGGGCCUUUUUCCUUUGUGAGAAGUGCUGCCCCUUGAAACAUCCUGCUACAUAGAGUUGAAAUGAUUUUAAAGCCUCAGAGAAAAGCUUAAAAAGUUGUAAUAGGAAAUCACACUUGGUUUCACCAGUAGUUCUGAGCAUAGGAGCUAAGAAGUGAUUUCAAAUCAGUCUGUAGAAAGAUUUUUAUGUCUGAUCAUGAGCAAAAAGAGAGAGCUUCUCUCUGAUGGAGGCUAGGAGUAAGUCACGUUUCGGGUCCUAAUGAUGUCUGCCGCCUUUCAUCAUCUGACAGUGACCAAGUCACAUUUCUUUCUACUUUGACAGUGGAAACAUUUAAUGAAACAAAACAGCAAUACCAAACUCCAGGUCUCCCUGCCCUCUUUGCUUAAAUGAGGCUCUGGCUUCAUUAAAUUCUAGCUUGCAGAGGUGCCCCACAAUUACAAUCCUCUGUACCCCAAAUUAAAAUGAGAUCCAAAAGCUUUACUUUAAUGCACACUGACAUGCUCGUUGUAUUUCCAAACUCCAAGAGAAUACAAGAUCGAUCUAUCAGAGGGCUAGGAAUCCUAUAUUACAUCUUCUCCAGGGUAAACUAUAGCUUGACCUACCAGAUACUUGACAUAAAUGCCGGCAGGUUAGUGUGUAUACCAACAUUGAGAAUGAGAAAUGCUAAAACAACAAGUAUGCUAUGUUUUGGUUCAAUCACCCCUUUGAGUGACCCAUUUAGCAUCCAUUUAAAUUCAUCCUCUACAUAUUUUAAAAUAUUUUAAGUAUAUAUUAUAUAUAGUUUCAUAGUUCUCUGAAUACUUUGGUAGGAGUCACUAUAGAAGUGGAAAUUAAAUUUUAAUGAAUAUUAGAAAAAUUAUGGUGGAGCAUUAUGUUUAAGUCUUGGAAGAUAUAAUCUUAUUAUCAAUAUUCUAUACACAUUUAUUUCUAUAUUUUUUUAGUUAUACUCAUAAUUGCUCUUCUUUCUUUUGACUAUCAUUUGGCUUGGAAUUACAAAGCAACAUUAAGUUUUAAUGGUCUAAAAAUUCAUAUUGACAUGCAGUAAUUUUAGCUCUAUAUUUUACUGUCUAGUAGUUCAUUAGCAGCAUUCUUUCCCCCUUAAAACACAUUUCUAGUAUCCUAACUUAAAAAUUUAAAAAUAUAUGUAGAAAAAUAGGGAAAAAUACAAGUUUAACAUUUUUGAAAUUAUUUAGUUUAUAGAUUUAUUGUAUUUUGGAAUUAUUUUAUAUUUUAUAAAUUAUAUACUUUAUAGAUUGAUUUUUUAUUUUACUUACCUAUAAAGAUAAGUAACUAUUAAUGUCAUUUUGAUUACCUGUUUUCAGGAGUAGCGAUAUUCAUAAUUUGUUCUAAUGGCUCAUCUUCUUCACUUUGAACCAUAUGAAGAAUUAUUGAUUACCUGAGGAGGACAAGAACAAAUUAGUUAUAUUAUGUUUCCUAAUGGUUAGCCCCUAAGCAAAUAUUUUGAUAACUUACUGAAAUAAAGAGGUUCUCCAGGAUGAAAGCAAUAGAGAUCAGUCACUGACUUAUACUGCCAGAAAUAAAAGCUUUCAACCAUGGACUUGGAUAUUGACUAUAUUUGAUUAUAUGAAUAGGAGUUUAACCAGUUUUUCAAAAGCUUUUCAUUCACCUGGGUGUAGGUUGAUUCUUUUUUUCAGUCAUAGCAACUUUAGGAGACAGGUAUCAUUUGAUGGCACAGUGGGAUAGAGCACUGGCCCUGGAAUCAGGAAACUGCUGUUGUUUUAUAUUCAUUUCAGUUAUGUCUUACUCUCUGUGACCCCAUUUGGGGUUUUCUUAUCAAAGAUUCAUGAGUGGUCUGUCAUUUCUUUCUGCUGAAUUGAAAACUAUGUGUUGUGGAGAAAGGUGGAAGACUAAGAGGGGGAUGGAUUACAAAAGGCUUUGAAUACUAAACAAGGCAUUUUGUAUUUGCUCCUUCAGUUAGUAAGAAGUCAAUGGAUUUUAUUAUAUGGGGGGGCAGGAGGAUAGGGUACCUAGAUCCACUUUAGUGACUGAAUGGAGGAAUGAUUUGAGCAGGGAGAAGUUGAGACAAACAGAACCAUCAGCAGCUAUUGCAGCAGUCCAAGCAUGAGUUGAUGAGGACCUGAAUGGAGGUCAUGUCAGAGCAGAGACUGGGAUGUAUUUGAAAACUGUUGUGAAGAUAAAAUUGAGAGGCCUUGACAUCAACUUGGAUUUGGGAAGAUAGUGAGGAAUACAUGAUGAAUCCCAGGUUGUGGG
Molecule: long non-coding RNA, 20428 nt
Filed under: Sarcophilus harrisii (Tasmanian devil)
Lineage: Eukaryota; Metazoa; Chordata; Mammalia; Dasyuromorphia; Dasyuridae
Description: lncRNA (ENSSHAG00000024698.1)
Source: RNAcentral